GGGCACGACACGACGGCAGCCACAGGGAGGAACCUUGACCUCAUCUUUACCAAGAUGGCUGCUUCUAGUCAACUCAGAAAUGCCGUCUGCAGUGAGCUCCCCAAACUUCCCCUAGACAUUCUUCAGUUUAGAGCUAGGGGACUUCUGAAAACGCCGUCGGUGAAGCAGAAUUUAACAAUAACACCGCCAAUCUAAAUAAGCCUAUGCCCAGGGAACCACUUUGUCACUUAAGUUUACUUGGCUCUUUGACUUUGCCAUGUUGGGUCUGGGACUGGAGACACCCAGCUCCUUCCCUUACGGGAAGCUUCUGGAAAACCGACUCAGGAACAGAAGCGUGUCUAAUUUUCUACAUCUUGUAGAAGUGAUUCUCCUCAUAAACGGACGAUUUGUCACGACACUGGUUCGGUAAUAGUAUUACAAUGAAAACACCAGCUACAAAAUAGAUGGGAUCUUUAUAGAACUCCUCAGCUUUCCAGUGGAAAUGAAUCAGAGUUAGCCUGAGUUCCCCGGAGAUGGAAGAGGCACAUUUAAAUUAGCACCUCAAUUGCAAAAAUAAUGAAAUCAGUUUCACCCUGACUGUAAGUGAUAAGAUAUGUGGACGAAGGAAAGGGGUGCCUUGCAGUUUAGGGGCAGGUGGCGGCGACAUUAAAAUUAUUAUCAAAUACCUUUUCUUUUUUUCAUUUUGAUUUGCUGGAUACCCUUAAAACUUUAAUGUUCUCAGUGCCGCCAUAAAAACAGUGGCCUAGUCAUAGGAAAUUUUAGUGGACUAAUUGUAAUGACCAUAUAGAUGUCACUGGUUUCGUCAAUAUCAGAUCCAUAUAACAUCACUCAAACCCUGAAUGACUUGGUGGAUUCAGGGGUCCCACUACUGGCGUUUUAAACAGACUUAGAGUGAACCAAAUGUGGACUGGCUAGCUGUAGAAAACGCUCCCAUGGGACAAUCAAUUUCAAAAAGGUAGUUCACACUGUUUAGAACCUGUCUGCCCCUGGGCCUUGAAGGGGGAUCUGAACAUUGGCCAUGCCAAUUGAG
RNAcentral lists this long non-coding RNA (1030 nucleotides) under Cricetulus griseus (Chinese hamster). RNAcentral describes it as "lncRNA (ENSCGRG00015036241.1)". The record is from RNAcentral. Lineage: Eukaryota; Metazoa; Chordata; Mammalia; Rodentia; Cricetidae.